CUUUUGACCUCGGAUCAGGUAGGGAUACCCGCUGAACUUAAGCAUAUCAAUAAGCGGAGGAAAAGAAACCAACAGGGAUUGCCCUAGUAACGGCGAGUGAAGCGGCAACAGCUCAAAUUUGAAAUCUGGCUCUUUUAGAGUCCGAGUUGUAAUUUGCAGAGGGCGCUUUGGCUUUGGCAGCGGUCCAAGUUCCUUGGAACAGGACGUCACAGAGGGUGAGAAUCCCGUACGUGGUCGCUGGCUAUUGCCGUGUAAAGCCCCUUCGACGAGUCGAGUUGUUUGGGAAUGCAGCUCUAAAUGGGAGGUACAUUUCUUCUAAAGCUAAAUAUUGGCCAGAGACCGAUAGCGCACAAGUAGAGUGAUCGAAAGAUAAAAAGCACUUUGGAAAGAGAGUCAAACAGCACGUGAAAUUGUUGAAAGGGAAGCGCUUGCAGCCAGACUUGCUUACAGUUGCUCAUCCGGGUUUCUACCCGGUGCACUCUUCUGUAGGCAGGCCAGCAUCAGUUUGGGCGGUAGGAUAAAGGUCUCUGUCACGUACCUCCUUUCGGGGAGGCCUUAUAGGGGAGACGACAUACUACCAGCCUGGACUGAGGUCCGCGCAUCUGCUAGGAUGCUGGCGUAAUGGCUGUAAGCGGC
Molecule: ribosomal RNA, 636 nt
Filed under: Alternaria sp. Teb-s_1_HU
Lineage: Eukaryota; Fungi; Ascomycota; Dothideomycetes; Pleosporales; Pleosporaceae
Description: eukaryotic LSU rRNA
Rfam family: Eukaryotic large subunit ribosomal RNA
Source: RNAcentral